This 253-nucleotide ribosomal RNA is filed under the name uncultured bacterium. Its description in RNAcentral is "partial 16S ribosomal RNA". It matches the Rfam family "Bacterial small subunit ribosomal RNA", at positions 524 to 776 of the family's 1533-position model. The record is from RNAcentral.
UACGGAGGGGGUUAGCGUUGUUCGGAAUUACUGGGCGUAAAGCGCGCGUAGGCGGAUUAGAAAGUUGGGGGUGAAAUCCCGGGGCUCAACCUCGGAACUGCCUCCAAAACUGCUAGUCUAGAGUUCGAGAGAGGUGAGUGGAAUUCCGAGUGUAGAGGUGAAGUUCGUAGUUAUUCGGAGGAACACCAGUGGCGAAGGCGGCUCACUGACUCGAUACUGACGCUGAGGUGCGAAAGUGUGGGGAGCAAACAGG